Molecule: long non-coding RNA, 1798 nt
Organism: Acinonyx jubatus (cheetah)
Lineage: Eukaryota; Metazoa; Chordata; Mammalia; Carnivora; Felidae
Exons: 2
Source: RefSeq, a predicted model, not a curated record
GCAGUGGAGCAGGGCAGAGAGAGAGAUGGAGAGAAAGAAACAGAGAGGAUCCCAAGCAGGCUCCAUGCUCAGCACAGAGCUACAACCCUGGGAUCAAGACUUGAGCCAAAUUAAGAGUCAGAUGCUCAACCAACUGAGCCACCUAAAUCUGCCCCUAAAUCUGUGUUCUUUCUAAGGCAGUGCUGUCCCAUAGAACUUUCUGUGAUGAUGUUCUAUACCUCUGUGGUCCAAUGUGACAGCCACAUUGUGGCUAUUGAGCGUUUGAAGUGAGACUAGUGUAACUGAGGAAAUCAGUUUUUUAUUUUAUUUAAUUUUAAUUAAAACUAAACUUUAUUUAUUUAUUUUAAAGGUUUAUUUAUUUGUUUUGAGAGAGUGUGUGUGCAAGCGGAGGAGGGGCAGAGAGUGUGAGGGAGACAGAGAAUCCCAAGCAGGCUCUCCUCAGCACGGAGCCUGAUGCAGGGCUCAUUGCCAUGACCGCAAGAUCACCACCUGAGCUGAUAUCAAGAGCCGACCGCUUAAUCUACUGAGCUACCCAGGUGUCUCCUGCCUCCAGUCAUCUGGUUUUUCAUAAAUGGCUUUAGAGCUGAAUAUUUACAAACUGGAGUCUUUAAUGUUCAAUAUUCAUAAACAGCCUAUGCCUCCAACAAACAGUGAUAUGAAAACAAAACAUAAUUGCCUACUUAAUAGAACUCUAGAUGAUAGCCCUUCCUUGUCGGACCUCUGGAUUUAUGGUUCGUCAGGCUAGGCUGUCUCCCAGACUGGCUAAUUUGACUGUAAAGUCUCUUUUCAGUAGAGACCAGUUUUCUUGCACUAGUUUAAUUCUUUCUUAGUCGCCAGUCUACCUAGACUUUUCUUCUUUCUCUUUCAAUUGAUUACAACUUCACUGUCCUGUGGAAAUCUCUUUGUUUACUGCUGUGGAAAUCCAGGGGGGCCAGAACCGGGUUCAUGGCUCUCAGCAACGCUGGGUCCUGCAGCAGACGGGUAAACUGACCAGACCUUGCAGAUGCCCUAACCUGAGGUUGGAACUACUCCUGCCCCCCAUCUCUCUGUGUGCCUACCCUCAGAAAAACAGAUUACAAAUGUGGGCACCAGAAUCAGAUUGCCUGGACCCGAUCUCCUCCUGGCCAAGCAAGAGUUACUUAACAUUUUUUGGCCUCACACUCUUCAUCUAUAAAACAGGAUAAAAAUAGUUUCUAUCUGAUAAUAGUGUUGUGAGAAUUAAAUGAAAAUAAUCUGAGUAAGGGCUUAGCAUGGUUCCUGGAACAUGUGUCCACUCAAUGAUUAUUGAUUGUUAUAAUUAUUGGUUAUCAUUAUUCUUUAAUGACCAUAAUCCCCUUCCUUAAGGUAAUGUGACUUUUUUAUAACAUGAAGAAAUACACUCUUCAGUUUUAUUACACCAAAGGUUUUAUGGAUUCCCCUCUAGUUGGUCAGUUUCAUGUUUUUUCUCUACUCAAGUUUAUGUAUUUUUUCAUCCAUCCAACCUUCAUUGAAGCCCCAUGAUGUGCCAGGUACCAUCUUAGAGAUGGGGACAGAAUGUUGAGGGAGACACAUUUCCUCCAGGUGCUCAUGUUUACUCGAGAAGAUAACACAGAAGCAGAUCCCAAAUGUGGUAUUCAUUCAAAGAAGUCACUUUCCAGUAAGUAUUGUUUUAUCAAAACAACUUCCAGCAGGGAUUGGCGCAAUUGUUCUUUGUUUUCUGGUGGAGGGAGGGGCUGAUGGAUGUUAAUAAUAGGCCAGAUAUACCAGACAUUCCAUCCACUGGAGUUCCAGUGGUUUAAUAAAGUCAUUCAUACCCUGA